Molecule: ribosomal RNA, 253 nt
Filed under: uncultured bacterium
Lineage: Bacteria
Description: partial 16S ribosomal RNA
Rfam family: Bacterial small subunit ribosomal RNA
Source: RNAcentral
UACGAAGGGGGCGAGCGUUGUUCGGAUUUACUGGGCGUAAAGGGCGCGCAGGCGGCUCAUUUUGUCAGGCGUGAAAGCCCCGGGCUUAACCUGGGAACUGCGUUUGAUACGGAUGGGCUAGAGUUCGGGAGAGGAGAGUGGAAUUCCCAGUGUAGAGGUGAAAUUCGUAGAUAUUGGGAAGAACACCGGUGGCGAAGACGGCUCUCUGGACCGAGACUGACGCUGAGGCGCGAAAGCGUGGGGAGCAAACAGG